Molecule: non-coding RNA, 2380 nt
Organism: Arachis ipaensis
Lineage: Eukaryota; Viridiplantae; Streptophyta; Magnoliopsida; Fabales; Fabaceae
Source: RefSeq, a predicted model, not a curated record
UAGUCCUCAAAUUGUUCUUUCUUCUUCGACGAUUCUUCUGACUUCACUUGGGAUUUUCGAGUUCUUUGUUAUUGUCGUUGCUGGCCGUUCGCGUCGCAAUUGCUUGGAUUCGCACUGACUACUUCGCUGUUCACGUCUUGUCUUCUCCCUUCUCUGUUCCUCAGUCAUCUUCCAAAGUGAAAAUGUUUGAUAUACAAUAUUCAACUUGGUCAACUUUGAAGACUUCUAGCAAUGCUCCACUAUGUAUUCCUUAUUCUUUUAUAGUUAUUAUCCUAUAAAAGCUUCAAUUUGGAUCAAAUUCUAGUUGAUACUUAAAUUGGAUUAUCACUUCUAGGUAAUUUUACUUCUUUCUUUAAAACUUAUUACAUGAUUAUCACCGUUGGAUUUUAUAUUAUCAUUAGGUUUCAUUGAUACUGUUGUAUUAUAUUUAGCAUUACUACUUUACUUGCAUAGUGUGUGAGGAUUCCUUUUACCUGAUCUUGUGUAACUGCAUGAUUGGUGCCUAAUGUUAUUGUGCAAUAACUUCUCAUUAUAGGUAGCUUAUUCUUUGAUAUUGAUCGUUGUUUUUCAAGAGCGUAUAAAUUGUCAUUGUGGAAUUUCGCUCAAGACUUUGUUUUGGAUUGCAUCUUAAGAUAACCUAUUUGUACCUGGUCUAAUUGUCUUUUUUGCUGAAAUCUUUUUUCUUUGUUAGUUUUUGGAUUAGUUUUCUUUAACAAUAAUUAGCUCUCUGCUAUAACAUAAUUUCAAUUAUAAAAAUCUCAAGUUGUACGUGAAAGGUUGGGACUUUAAUUAGAUAGUUUCCUUUGUGUGCAGAAAAUAUGUGUACAAACACAAUAUUGAAUAUAUUCCUUAUUUUAAAUUAAGUGCUUCUAAACAUGUGGAGCUUUAUUCUUAGUCCCUAAACAGAGGCAAGUGUUGAAUUUCUAAUUUUAUUCUCUUUAAAUUGGAAUAUGAGUUUGAUAUCAAGGAUAGUGUCUGUAUUGGGGUAUAUAUAAAAAUAAAAUAGAAACAAUUAUUUUUUUUCCGUUCUCUUCUCAAACCAUGGAACCAAACCUUUUCCCCUUGUGUGUUUUGUAUGUCAUAGCUUUAUUCAUUUUAGUUGAGUUAUUUGAAUUUUUGUUGUGUUGUUUUGUUUUGUGUGAUUGAUGCAAAAAAAAAAAAGAUAGAAGAAUGACAUACUGAGAAUUUUGGAAGUGUGUGUGUUGAUACCGUUUUAUGAUAGUUCUCAUAAAAGUUGAAUAACGAGUUCAAGUUUUAAUAUGCAUGUUUUAAUUUUACUUAUUGUGUUCUAUUAAAGUUUUAUUAUUCUAAUGUAGUUAGAUGUUAUCUAUAAUUAAUUUUGAAUAUAUUUUUCGUAUUUUCUAUCUCAAAUUUGGAGUUGACUUAUUGGAUAUAAUAUAGGUUUGAAUUAGUUCUGAUGGCUUUAUUAUUAUCAUUGUAAAACUCAGUUAAAUAGUAAUUAAUAAAUUAAUAGUUAAUAAAUUAAAUUAUAAGUGAAGAAUACUUGGAAAUUUAAAAUUUAUAAUUUGGAAGGAUAAAAAUAUUUAGAACAUAAAUUAAAACGCUAAUCUUAAAAGUUUUGGCCUAGAAAUUGGCCAACGAGUUAAAACAAGUGAACUAGAUCUAUGUUGGGUCCAAACCCAAGGCUUAUAAGGCUUAGACUUGAACCAUUUCAGCAUCCUUCCCUUCUAAACACAUUUAGCAGAGAGAGAGAGAGAGAGAGCUAAGUUUUAUCACCAAUUUCAGUGAGUAAAGAUAAGAGAUACUUUUCCCAUGUGUUCAUUAAAUUUUAUGAAAUCCUAGUGAUUGAAUAUUGUGUAUAUUAUGUGAAAAUAGUAUAAAUUGAGUAUUAAAGGCAUUAAGUUUUGUCUUGCUUGCUCCCAGUUGGAAUGUUGAUCUUCCGUUAUAAGAUGCGGCUGGACACUUAGACCUUUCCGUUAUAUUUCGAUACGUGUGUGUUUCCGCUUGCAAUUUUCUUUAAUUCCUUUUCAGGCUUUUCGUUUAAUAAUUUCUUCUAAUUAUAUAUAUGUAUUACAACUCCAUCUUGAGUCAUACUACUUUAUUACCAUUGACUUAUAACUCGAGUAUAAGAAUAUGAAUGGUAGGAUGUUACAAUUAUCAUCAUCAUCAUCAUCAUCAUCAUCAAAGUUCAUCCUUAUAUUCAUUUUAGAGGCUUGCUGAAAUGCUAGAUUUUGAAAUUAAGUGAUGGGUUGCAGGAAAAGAAGGAAACUUGCGUGCUUUGCUCUCCACCUUAAAAUAUGUAUGUUCUUAUUGCACACAUUUUGAAUAAUGUGAUUUUUUUUGUUAGAUCCAUGUAAUGCCAAGAAGUAUAUAGUACUAUAGUCUUAAAUAACUUAUUUAUUUUUUCAUUUAGAAUUCU